Molecule: ribosomal RNA, 302 nt
Filed under: uncultured bacterium
Lineage: Bacteria
Description: bacterial SSU rRNA
Rfam family: Bacterial small subunit ribosomal RNA
Source: RNAcentral
GACGAACGCUGGCGGCGUGCUUAACACAUGCAAGUCGGACGAGAAAGGGAGCUUCGGUUCCUGAGUAAAGUGGCGCACGGGUGCGUAACACGUAAGUAAUCUACCCUAGACACUGGGAUAACUUCCCGAAAGGGAGGCUAAUACCGGAUAGGUCCUUACGACAACAGUUAUAAGGGGAAAGCAGGCCUCUGUUUCAAGCUUGCAGUCUAGGAUGAGCUUGCGGCUCAUUAGCUAGNGGUAGGUAAAGCUACCAAGGCGACGAUGGGUAGCUGGUCUGAGAGGAUGAUCAGCCACACUGGCAC